This is a long non-coding RNA of Mauremys reevesii (Reeves's turtle), 354 nucleotides long. RefSeq lists it as uncharacterized. NCBI's taxonomy places the organism in Eukaryota, Metazoa, Chordata, Testudines, Geoemydidae. The transcript has 3 exons. The record is from RefSeq and is a predicted model, not a curated record.
ACUGCUUUUGAAACAACUCUUAUGAGUGAAAAUACCAGGUUUCCCUGACACAUGAAGUGCCCUCUGUGAACCGGUUUGUAAAACCACUACUCUCUCCUCUCCUUUGAAUCCCUCCUCAAGACCUACUGCAAAACGGAAUCCCUGCCCCUCUCCCAGGGUGCACUCUGACAUCAUCAUCAGGGGGCUGAGGUAGCAGAAGCUGCAUGAAGAGGCUACAGCAGCCUUGAGAUCACCAGACAGAGGAGGAGAAGAAUAAAGGAGGCUUUGUGCCAUCCCAUCCCCAGAGAAACUGCAGCAGUAUUGAGGAAGGUUGAGGAGAAAUACAGCCCUCCAAACACAAACACACACACACAC